GAUGAACGCUGGCGGCGUGCCUAACACAUGCAAGUCGAACGGAGUCCAGCCUUUAAGACCUUCGGGUCAAAGAGGGGAAGACUGGGUGGCGGACGGGUGAGUAACACGUGGGCAACCUGGCUCAUAGAGGGGGAUAACAGAGAGAAAUUUCUGCUAAUACCGCAUAAGCACACACUGCCGCAUGGCAGAGGGUGAAAAGAGAAUCGCUAUGAGAUGGACCCGCGUCUGAUUAGCCAGUUGGCAGGGUAAGAGCCUACCAAAGCGACGAUCAGUAGCCGAUCUGAGAGGAUGAACGGCCACAUUGGGACUGAGACACGGCCCAAACUCCUACGGGAGGCAGCAGUGGGGGAUAUUGCACAAUGGGGGGAACCCUGAUGCAGCGACGCCGCGUGAGUGAAGAAGUAUUUCGGUAUGUAAAGCUCUAUCAGCAGGGAAGAUAAUGACAGUACCUGAAUAAGAAGCCCCGGCUAACUACGUG
Molecule: ribosomal RNA, 478 nt
Filed under: uncultured bacterium
Lineage: Bacteria
Description: partial 16S ribosomal RNA
Rfam family: Bacterial small subunit ribosomal RNA
Source: RNAcentral